CCUGCCUGGUAGCGGGGGAUAACUAUUGGAAACGAUAGCUAAUACCGCAUAACAGUAGAUAUCGCAUGAUAUGUGCUUGAAAGGUGCAAUUGCAUCACUACCAGAUGGACCUGCGUUGUAUUAGCUAGUUGGUGAGGUAACGGCUCACCAAGGCAACGAUACAUAGCCGACCUGAGAGGGUGAUCGGCCACACUGGGACUGAGACACGGCCCAGACUCCUACGGGAGGCAGCAUG
This 235-nucleotide ribosomal RNA is filed under the name uncultured bacterium. RNAcentral describes it as "partial 16S ribosomal RNA". It matches the Rfam family "Bacterial small subunit ribosomal RNA", at positions 125 to 353 of the family's 1533-position model. The record is from RNAcentral.